Molecule: ribosomal RNA, 429 nt
Filed under: Fusobacteriota bacterium
Lineage: Bacteria; Fusobacteriati; Fusobacteriota
Description: Fusobacteria bacterium partial 16S ribosomal RNA
Rfam family: Bacterial small subunit ribosomal RNA
Source: RNAcentral
UGGGGAAUAUUGCGCAAUGGGCGAAAGCCUGACGCAGCGACGCCGCGUGAGGGAUGAAGGUUUUCGGAUCGUAAACCUCUGUCAGAAGGGAAGAAACCGCACUGUGCUAAUCAGCAGUGCCUUGACGGUACCUUCAAAGGAAGCACCGGCUAACACCGUGCCAGCAGCCGCGGUAAUACGGAGGGUGCAAGCGUUAAUCGGAAUUACUGGGCGUAAAGCGCACGUAGGCUGCUUUGUAAGUCAGGGGUGAAAUCCCACGGCUCAACCGUGGAACUGCCUUUGAUACUGCUUAGCUUGAAUCCGGGAGAGGGUGGCGGAAUUCCAGGUGUAGGAGUGAAAUCCGUAGAUAUCUGGAGGAACAUCAGUGGCGAAGGCGGCCACCUGGACCGGUAUUGACGCUGAGGUGCGAAAGCGUGGGGAGCAAACAGG